CCUUAAACUCUUCAAGUACAGAGGUGAGUAUGAGAAAAGAAAAAAUUACCGCCCUUUCUGCUUACUAUGAUGAUGGCAAAGAACUAAAGGAUGCAAUUAAAAUUAAGAAAACUGUUCUAAGUUGUCUACCUCAGAACAAAACCACGUCAUAUGAAAAUUGUUUAGGAUGCUAUGUACACUGUCAACACACCAUUAUUAAAUCUACCUUUCCUUAAAGUGUAACAUCCUGUUUUAGGUAACACAGGACAGGCUAGUCAGGUUACCGAUCC
Non-coding RNA from Biomphalaria pfeifferi, 269 nucleotides. Lineage: Eukaryota; Metazoa; Mollusca; Gastropoda; Planorbidae. The record is from the annotation of a GenBank genome assembly.